UACGUAGGGUGCGAGCGUUGCCCGGAUUUAUUGGGCGUAAAGGGCGCGUAGGCGGCUCUGCACGUCCGUUGUGAAAUCGCCCGGCUCAACUGGGCGGGGUCAGCGGAUACGGCAGAGCUCGAGCAAGCUAGGGGGCAAUGGAAUUCCCGGUGUAGUGGUGGAAUGCGUAGAUAUCGGGAGGAACACCAGUGGCGAAGGCGACUUCCUGGCCUGUUCUUGACGCUGAGGCGCGAAAGCUAGGGGAGCAAACAGG
This 253-nucleotide ribosomal RNA is filed under the name uncultured bacterium. RNAcentral's name for it is "partial 16S ribosomal RNA". It matches the Rfam family "Bacterial small subunit ribosomal RNA", at positions 524 to 776 of the family's 1533-position model. The record is from RNAcentral.